Brassica napus (rape) is the source of this 1508-nucleotide long non-coding RNA. RefSeq lists it as uncharacterized. The transcript has 2 exons. Lineage: Eukaryota; Viridiplantae; Streptophyta; Magnoliopsida; Brassicales; Brassicaceae. The record is from RefSeq and is a predicted model, not a curated record.
GGAGCUCAUCAACCAUGGCCGCUUUACUGAGAUACAUGGUAGGGAGUUGGAGGAGAAGUUGACGGUUUCCUUCUCUUCUUCUGUCCAUUUUUCGGACGUUGGUAUUGGAAUCCAUAAGAUUUCGGUGUUGGUGUUGGAAGGAUGAUGGUAUAGCUGUUGAAGCAGGAAGUGGAAUGGCUCUGUGGGUGAGAGUUCUGGCUUUGAUAAUAGCAGCAGUAUUACCUUUUCUUUCAGACAUGUAAACAGAGAAGCAACAUCAGAGAUGAAGAUGUGCUUUUUGGAACUUAACAUCAGAACAUUUGAAGCUUACCUAUCUGUGUACUGCAUUCUUCUACUUGCUUGCUGAGACGGGUAUGCAUGUUGCGCAACUGAUAUCCCAAACUCGAAAGUUCCCCUGCAGCUCUCCUUGAUUCUGUUGCCUGAGUAUUUCAGAGAAUUCACCUGCUGAGGCUGCUUGAAACAAAAGAAGGGUAGAAAAUGUACCUGUUGGGGCUGCUUGAAAUAAGGUAUCUGCUGCAGGCAAGCAAGUGCGCUUUUGACGACCCAGUAAGUAGCCAGACGGAUUUUAGACAUGGUUUCUCCCACAAGGUUGCUGUCUAGCUUCGCUUGUUUAAACGGUAGCCUUUCAAACUCAGUGAUGCAUUUGGUUACGUCUACCAGAACUUUAAUGAGCAAGCUUAGAGGGUUUAACCAUGGUCUGAACGUGGUUCUCUCUAUAGGCAACUGGUUGAGUGUUGCAAUUGAUGCUGCGACCGGAUCAUUAGAGCCUAGAUGAAUUGGUAGCAAUAGUCCUCCAUAUGUUGCAGCAAGGGCUCCAAGUACUAACACAGCUUUUGCAUCCCAUCUGUAUUCUUUCAGAAGAUCGAACAAAACCAUUGUUCUUGUAUGGAUCUCGUUUUCCCCCAUGCAUGGACAAAGCAUCUGCAACCUCAAGAGUUUCAAGAUCUCCGCUCCCAGGAAGAAUUGAUUUUAGAAGGAAGAUGAUCUGUGUUACCUGAACUGAGAUUCUGGAGAUAGCGUAUGGUAGUGUCUCCUUUGAUUCGAAAACUUCAAUGUCGGUCAUACAAUUCUCUGUUAGAAGCGGCUUAGAAACCUGAAAGUUAAGUGGCGUUUGUUAUUGGCAAUCAUCUAGACAAGUAUCUGAAGACUAGAAGAAGCUCAAGGGGUUAUGAGCUCAACUCACAUCACUUUGCAGAACAAAGCUCAAGAUGGCUUCUACUUCUUGAAGCAACGUUUUGGAAUCAAUCCAGCGACCGUCUGGAUCAUGUGUUCGGAGUAUCUGCUCAACUAUGAUAUCUUCAGUCAGAGCAGAGAUGCUGCUUGUGGAAUCCAUGGUAAUGGUUGUGUUUGAAAAGACUUCUUUGAAUUAGGAUUUAGUAACCAGAUGUCUUGUCUCUUGGUUUGCGUGAUCAGAUAUUAGUAGGGUCUCUGAAACUGAAAAUUGUUUAACAAUCUGACAGGAAUCUUGUACAAAGAUUUGCAACCAUAGCUUUAUCUUUUUUUCAUUA